AUCCAAACGCAUUUUAUAUAUUAUCUAAUACUUAACUUUAAACACUUAUCAUGUAUCAUUAUCAAUUAUCAAUUUACUUAUUUCACUAUUACAAUCACAAUCCAAUAUAACACACUUAAGACAUCCUAGAUAUAUGCCAUUACCAAUAAUUAACAUGCUUUACCUUUUUGAGCUUCAGGAUCGACUUAUGAUGCUAAUUCGACGACCUGUCUUUAACCUAACCUGUGCACGAAAACAAACCGUACGCUGAGUAUGAAUUCAGUGAUAUUUCUAUAAACCGAUACUUAAGUCAAUAAUAAAUCAUAUAUCAAUGAACCUUGAGAAUUCAAUCUAUUACUCCUAAUAGUUCAAUCAUUUGUUUUUGAUAUAUAAUGCUAAGAUCAUGUUAAUCACUUUCGAUGAAAUGUAUACAGUUUCAAUGUUUAUUCAUUAUCCGUCGAUUUUUCAUAUUUAUUCAGUAAUAACCUGUGAUUAGUAUCAUUCAGACAUUCAGUAGCAGUCCAUUAUUCAGUAACAAUUAGUUUUUCAGUACUUUUAUUUACAAUUCAUUUGAGUAAUAAUAUUAUUCAGCUUUCAUUCAAUAUUCUGUACCAUCUCAUUUCAAUAACAGUCAAUAUUCAAUAGCAGACAGACUUUAAUACUUUUCAUUACCCCUAUUAACAUGACUCGGACCUAGACGGAUACACGGAUCCAACUCACACACCGAGGAUAGUAUACAGUGUUUCAUCAGCCGAAGCCAAAAUACACCGUAAGGGUAGCAAUAACAGUAACAGUAACAGUAGCGGUACACAAAGUACCUCAUCAGAACAAAUUUGGAACAGUAACAGUAACAGUCAAAUACGGAGUACCUCUUCGGAACGAAUCCGGAACAGUCAUAGUAGUCGACAUAUAUAGUGUCUCAUCGACACACAGUCAGAAUAUCCCUGAACACUUCCAAUCCUAUGACAUGCCAACUAUAUCCGACUAGCCUGAUACAAUUAAUAGGGUAUUCAAUAAACUUUCAAAUUUUCAAUUUUAUUUGUAAUUUAAUUUCAAUUCAAUUUAAUACAUUUUUCCAUAUCAAUCCACAUGCAAAUCAAUUUCAAUGCAAUAUACAUUUUUCAGUUUUCCACUCAAUAUUCACAUAUUCUAUUCAAUAUCAAUAAUCACUAAUAAUUCAUAAAUUUUUUAUUCAAUUCAAUAUCAUAAUAAUAAUACUUACCAUUCAUAUAAAUAAUAAAUUCAACAAAUAAUUAUUAGAUUUGGUUUAUAAAAAUACAAACCGUAGUUUUCAAGCUAACUCCUGUUGUCUUUGUCUUGUCCUUACUUAGUCGAGAUUUCCCGAGAUAACGUUAGCUACGAAAAUUAAAAUAAUUAUACCAUUAACUUUCAGCACUCAUUAUAACAAUUAAUUGAAUUUCUAUUCAAUUUACACCUUAUUUCCAAUUUAGGUCCUAACUAAUUCAUUCACUUUACUAACUUAAUUCAUUCUCCAUUUCUAUUCAAAUUCCAUCCAAACUCAAAUUUAAUUAUUAAAUUUUCACCUUAUCUCAUUAAUUUCGAAAUUUCCUCAAAUUAACCCCUACAACAUAAAACUUAUGAAUUACUUAACAAUUCAAUCCUUAUUUCAUUUCUAACUUGAAUUUCUAUCAAUUUAGCCCUUAAUUCAUCAUUUUAUUUAACAUAAACAAUAUUUAGAAAUCUAAUAAUUUUAAAAAUCUUAAUUUAAUUUCAUCAAAACUUUGUUCCAAAGCUUCUAAAACAUUAAAAUUAAGUAAAAAUGGCUAAAUUGACUUACCUAUUAAACUUCCAAGCUUCAAAAUCCCUAUUUUCCAUUUUUUCCUUUCUUUUUCUCCUUCCUUUCUUCUCUAUUUCUUUCUAUUCUUUUUCUUUUUCUUUUACUUUGUUCUAUUUUAUAUAUAAUAAUAAUAAUAAUAACUUACAUAAUAAGUAAAUAUACAUGUAUUUUACAAAUGUAGAUAUACUAAUAUUACACAUGUCACUAUACAUACCAUACAUUUGUCAACUUUUUAUUUAUUUUUCACAUAAAAAUCUUAUAAUAUAAUUAUUUAAUUAAUAAAUAUAUUUUAUAAAUAAUAAAUAUAUAUUAAUACUUAAAUACAAGCAUUACAAGUGUAUGUAUUUUUAUUAAUACACUUGUACCCAAUCAUUACCACACAUUUGUCUUACUUUUAUUUAUUUAUCAUAUAAUAUCAAUUUAAUAAUAAUAAAUACAUUAAUAUUUACUUAAAUAAUAAGCAAAUACAUACAUAUAUUACAAAUGUGUGUAUUAUAUUUAUUACACUUGUAGACACUUGGCACUCUUUUUGGCUUAUUUACUCAUUUAGUCCCUUCAAUUUUUUUAUUCUAUAAUUAAACUUUCACACUAUAUUCAAUUUAAUCCUUUUAUCCAAUUAUCCUUAAUUUAAGCUAAUUCACUUAAUUAAACUCUAAUUAAUCACUCAAUUAACUUCGUAAAUAUUUAUUACGAAUCCAUUUUUUAGAAACGGAGACCUGAAAAUAUACUUUUCCGGUAACGGUAAAAUUCAGGUCAUUACAUCAUUGAUGUGAAGAUAGAAUUAAAUUGGGAGAUGGAAAAGGAAGAGAUGUACUGGGAGCAGAGGGCGAGAUCGAAUUAGCUUAGCUAAGGGGACAGAAAUACGGCUUUCUUCCAUAGUCAAGCGUCCCAAAGAUGCAGAAUAAAUCGUAUCCGAGGGAUGGAGGAUAAAGAAGGUAUUCUCAAAACGGAAAGAAGAAGAUAUGGAAAUCAUAAUAAGGAGCUACUUUAUGAAGCUAUUCGAAUCUAAAGGAGUUGGUAAUACAAAUCACCUACUCUUAGGUUUUCGCUGCAGUAUUUCUGACAGUAUGGAUCAAAUGCUGGCUAAAGAUUAUAAAGAGGAGGAAAUUUUUGAAGCAAUAAAUAGUAUAGGGUCGACAAAAGCUUCUAGACUUGAUGGAUUUUCUGCAAUCUUCAUUGAAAAAUUUUGGCAUAUUAUAGGGAGGGAGGUAAGUGAUUUUUGCUUGGAAGUUCUUAAUAAAGGAAAAUCUCUUGAUCUUUUAAACCAUACGAAUAUCGUGCUAAUCCUAAAGAAUCCCACCCAAAAAGCCCAUCAGAAUUUAGACCAAUUAGCAUUUGCUCCGUCUUUUAUAAAAUAAUUUCAAAAUCUAUAGCAAACAGACUACAGAAAGUACUUGAUUUUUGCAUCGAUCCAGCUUAAAGCGCCUUUGUAUCGGGUGGAUUAAUUACAAAUAAUGUUCUUCUUGCAUAUGAAAUUCUACAAUCUAUGAAGAAUAAAAGGAUGGGGAAAAAAGGUCUGAUGGCUCUUAAGAUUGAUAUGAGCAAAGCCUAUGAUCGGGUGGAAUGGAAUUUCUUGGAACAAAUGAUGGCUAAAAUGGGAUUUUAUGAGUCUUGAAUUUAGCUUAUUAUGAGAUGCAUCAGUACGGUUUCGUAUUCAAUCAUUUUGAAUGGAAAGUCAGGGGAAGUGUUUCGUCCAGAGAGAGGCCUACAUCAAGGGGACCCUUUGAGUCCUUUUCUGUUCCUUAUAUACAGUGAGGGACUGUCUACAUUAUUAAGACUUGCAAGCGAGGAAGGAAUGCUGAAAGGAAUAAAGGCGAGUAGACGAGGCCCUCAGAUUACUCGCCUUCUUUUUGUAGAUGAUUGCGUGCUGUUUGGGGAAGCAAAUGAAAAAGGUGCAAAAACUUUUGGAAAGAUCUUAAAAGAGUACGAAGCCUGUUCGGGACAAUCCAUUAAUUAUGGAAAGUCAACAGUUUUCUUUAGCUCAAACACAACUGAAAUGAUUUGUUUAGCUAUCUCAAAUAAAUUGAGGGUGAAACGAACGAAUAACACAGAAAAAUAUCUGGGCUUGCCAAAUAUGGUGGGAAAGAGGAAAAGGUUAGCAUUCCAACACCUUAAAGAUCGAAUUAAAGCAAAAAUUAACUGUAGGAGUUCUCAAUUACUAUUGCAAGGGGAAAAGAAGUUUUCAUUAAAUCUGUGCUACAAGCAAUUCCAGCAUAUACAAUGGGAUGUUUUUUAUUACCGAAGUCAGUAUGCGUUGAUAUGGAACAAAUUAUAGCCAAGCAUUGGUGGUAAAAAGGGUUCGGGAGAAGGGGGAUACAUUGGUAGUCAUGGAAUAACUUAUGUGAAUUAAAUGAAUUCAGUGGUCUUGGUUAUUGUAAUUUUGCAAAUUUUAAUUUAGCCCUCUUCGCUAAGCAAGGAUGGCGAUUAAUUGAAAACCCCAAUUCUCUUUUAGCACAGAUGUUAAAGGCCAAAUAUUAUUUGAAUACUGAUUUUCUAAACUCAAAGCUAGGAAACUUACCUUCAUAUACUUGGAAAAUUAUAUGGGCUGCAAAAGGCCUUUUGCGGACUGGAUUAUGUUGGAGGGUGGGAAACGGCCGAAAUAUAAGUAUUGAAGAGGAUGUCUGGGCUCCGAAGGAUGAAAAUCUACAUAUUCAAAAAAUAGUAAGAAAUCAGAAUUUAUUGAAGGUAGCAGACCUAAUUGAUAGCAAUGCUAGAUCAUGGAAAACAGAGUUGAUUACAGAUACCUUUUCCGUAGAAGAUGCUCAGAGAAUACUCCAAAUCCCGCUUGCUCACUCCCGAUAGGACAACUUUAUGGCUUGGAGAGGCGAACCAACAGGCGAAUAUACAGUCCAAAGUGGGUACAGAUUACUCUUUCGAGGCAAUUCCAUCAAUAAUAAUAGAUACAAGCCAAAUGAAAACAGGAAAUGUUGCAAAAAAAUGUGGAAUAGUGACCUCCCCUCAAAAUUAAAAAUUAGAGCCUGGAGAGCCACUCUAAACUACCUUCCUACACUAUCAAAUCUACGCAUUAAAAGACUAGCUAAUGACGCCGUCUGCCCGAGAUGUCAGCAAGGUGUGGAGAAUAUGGAUCACGUCUUUCGAGAAUGCGCUACUUCAAGGGAAACAUGGAAUAGCUUAAAAUAUGACUGGCCUGAAAGAAUAGCAAAUCUGAAAUUUAUGGAAUGGUUUACUUGGAUCAUGCUAAGCAGCAGUACUGAUAUCUGUCGAUCAUUUCUAUGCACCAUUUGGGUUAUCUAGUCGGCUAGAAACAAAUGGAUUCACGAGGGUAAGAAAAUGUCAGGGACAGAGACGGCAAGAUUCAGCUUACAGUACUUACAAGAACUAAAUAACAUUAAAUGGGAAAAACUUGCCUUUAGCCCGAUAAGUGCAGAAUGGAGGCCUCCGAUUCAAGGUAUCUACAAAAUCAAUUUCGAUGCAGCAGUGGACCUUAAAACACAAAGGUCAUGUUCGGGACUCAUAGUCAGAGACUGGAAAGGGAAAAUCCUAGCCACAAAAACCAUAAAUCAUGAGAAUAUACCUUCGAGGUUUGCAGCCGAGUCUGUUGCAUGUUUACAGGCAGUUAUCUUAGGAAGGGAUCUAGGAUUAAAGUUUGUUGACAUUGAAGGGGAUUUUUUGACAGUGAUAAAAAAAGCUCAAACUAAGAGCAUAGACAAGUCGGUAAUCGGCGUAGACAUUCAAGACAUUCAAGAAAUGUGCAAGAUUUUCUAUGAAAGUAAGUUCAUUUAUGUACGAAGAAAAGCAAACGAACAAGCGCAUGAUCCGGUAUCAAAAGGCUUAAAAAUGGUAGAAAAGACUUACAUUAUUCACAGACCAGUUGCUGAGGGCGUCACAGAGGUAGAAAUUGAUCGAGGAUGGGGGUGAAGAAUUCCAACAGGUGGAUGAUUUAGAGAAGGAACCCUAAUGAAUACCAGUCUUUUGUCCUUCUCCAAGAGCUGUAAAUGAAAAUGAAGAUAUUUUAAGAAGAUUUUUAGGAAAUAACAGCUCAUUAAUGUUGGGUUGUCUUUUCAUGUCUUUUAUUAUUUUUGUUUUGCAAAGAGUGGCAGGCCCUUCG
This 5846-nucleotide long non-coding RNA is filed under the name Gossypium barbadense (sea-island cotton). RNAcentral's name for it is "long non-coding RNA (GBAR_LNC005035)". The record is from RNAcentral. Lineage: Eukaryota; Viridiplantae; Streptophyta; Magnoliopsida; Malvales; Malvaceae.